AAUCCUUUCUGUUGUUAUUUUUCCUAUUUAGAUUUUGGAGCAUACCUUGUUCUUUUGGGUUUUGAAAUUUGUUACUUAGCAUUUUGCUCUGUUUCAUUGAUAUCUUCUUACAAAUAUCACUGUGUUUUUUUUUUCGGAACAAGCUAUAUGCUUCAGAUUGAGGUGCUAUCAAAUGUUUUGAAUUGGUUUCAAACACUACCAACAAUUUCUUAGUUUUUAUAAGUCUUGGUGAAGAGAUUACUUUUUUUUUUCACCUUGAAAGGGAACAAUUCGGGCCUUUUUGUAUGAUUGAAGCAGUGUUCUUUCCAUAGUGUAGUUUACUACUGUCUCAGAUCAGAAUCUUUCAGUGUGGGUUUAGCGGGUUUAGUAUAUGGACAAUGGUUUCCCUCAUUAUAUUCUUGGUCAAAUAUGAUACUGUCAUGCUAGCUAUGGAAAAUUUUAGAAUAAGAUUUUAAUCAAUUUUAGAAUAGUAAAUUCUCCUAGCGUAGGCCUUCUUUUUUCACCCAGAAAUUAGGGCUUCUCGCUUGUGUAACUGUAGUAUAUUUAUUUGGAGAUCAGAAAACUAUAGCAAUUGCUAUGUAGUUGCUUAGGAGGGUCUUCAACCUUAACCUUGUAGGAGUAAAUUGCAAGCCCGACCAUUUGUGCUGCCCUCUUAAGCCAGAGUAGGUUUUGAACGUAUGACUAUAUAAUUUUUAUGUAUAUAUAUAUUUAUAUAUUUUAAUUUUUAUCUUGUUUGGUGCCUUUUCUGAAACUCUCCACAAAACUAGUAAACAAAGUUUUAGGGAAUUUGAACUAAUGAUGUGAAUUCAAAUUAAAGUCAAUUGAUUUGAAAUGAAACGAAAACACUGAAUUUCCUAUUCAACUUGUGAUGCCAAAUAAUUUUAUUUUAUUUUUUUAUUUUUCUGAAAAGGUCUUAUUUUGUUAAUCGUCUAAUAAUAAUUUUGUUAAUGAGCAGCAUACAGUUAUGUAUAUACAAAAAGAUUUCAUAUAGGAUUCAUUUGUGGUUAAAGAAAUCUUAUAUGUUGUCUCUUUAAACUGUGAAUGCCAGAGCUGAUGUAACCAAUUAAUAUUCAUUCUGAACAAUUAAUUGGGGUUCUAUAGAAAUACAUUAAAUUCUAACAAAUUAAACGCAUAUAUUUUUUUUUAGGCUUUAUCAGGUUCGGCUUAAAAUCUACGAGCUACUUGUCAAUUGUAUACCUCCGGAGAUCAUCUUGAAGAGGCUGCUUUACGAGUUACCGAGGAAAUUAGACGCAGAAUUGAAGCACGAGGUUUGCCACUGGGCGGCAUAUUAUGAACACAGGAUGCGACUUGGACAAAAAGCUAUAUUUCACAUUGAAGCGUUUGUGGCCAAGUUCAUGAGCAUUUACAAGUCUCUUCUUAUUGCAACAUUUGGCUGAGUAACAGAAUGUGGAAGUGUGUUGGAAAUUGUUGUAACAGUUUUAGGUGAUUCCAUCUUCCUAGACUAGACUUUGUACAUUUGGUUCAACCACACCCAUUUUUAUAUUAAAAUGUUAGAAUUUUCGGGCUAAGUUCACCAAAUCUAAGAAACUUUUUAAUUUUAAAUACAUGACAUAAAUUAAAAGGACAAAAGAGGCAUAUAAAAUACCAUAUCUUGCCCAUAAUUGAGGUUCAACUCCCCUGCAUUCCAAGAUCAAGAAUGGAAGCUUGGGCUUCAAUGCUUUCAAAUCUUGGUAGUUUUUCUCUACAGAUGCUCUGCCAAAUAAAAGAGCACAAAUCAUUUCUGUAAGUCAUUAACAAAAGUCCUUAUUUUGAGUUAAUUAUGUGUUAUUAUUUGUUAAUCUUACUUUUUUAAUAAAAAUAAACAGUUUCAUUAUCUUAUAUUUUUGAGUUAUUUGUGUGAUAUUAUUUGUUUUUAUUUAUUUGUUAUGGAACCGGUUCUGUAUAUAUUUAUGCCUUAGUAUUUUUGGAAUUGAUCCCCACAUUUUCUUCAGAAAAACAUUAUAAGCAGUUUUAUGAGGUAUUAUGUGCUAUUUAUUUUUGUUCAUUUUGUUGUGGAACUAAUUUUUUUUAAUUUAUAUUUCAGUACUUUAGGAAUUGAUUUCUUCUUUGUCUUUUAAUUAUAACCGGUUUGAAUUAUUCUGUGUUAUUUAUUUUUAUUCAUUAUAUUAUAGAACCAGUUCUAUUUUAAUUAUAAACGGUUUGAGUUAUUUGGUGUUAUUUGUUUUUAUUUAUUAUAAGACUGUUAUAAAACCGGUUCUAUUUUAAUUAUAACCGGUUUGAGUUAUUCAUUGUUAUUUGUUUUUAUUUAUUAUAAGACUGUUAUAGAACCAGUUCUAUUUUAAUUAUAAUUGGUUUGAGUUAUUUUGUGUUAUUUGUUUUUAUUGAUUAUGUUAUAAAACCGGUUCUAUUUGAAUUAUAACCGGUUCUAUUUUAAUGAUAACCGGUUUGAGUUAUUUAGUGUUAUUUAUUUUUAUUUAUUAUAAGACUGUUAUAGAACCGGUUCUAUUUUAAUUAUAACCGGUUAGAGUUAUUCAUUGUUAUAUGUUUUUAUUUAUUAUAAGACUGUUAUAGAGCCGAUUCUAUUUUAAUUAUAAUUGGUUUGAGUUAUUUUGUGUUAUUUGUUUUUAUUGAUUAUGUUAUAAAACCGGUUCUAUUUGAAUUAUAACCGGUUCUAUUUUAAUUAUAAUCGGUUUGAGUUAUUUAGUGUUAUUUAUUUUUAUUUAUUAUAAGACUGUUAUAGAACAGGUUCUAUUUUAAUUAUAACCGGUUUGAGUUAUUCGUUGUUAUUUAUUUUUAUUUAUUAUAAGACGGUUAUAGAACUGGUUCUAUUUUAAUUAUAAUUGGUUUGAGUUAUUUUGUGUUAUUUGUUUUUAUUGAUUAUGUUAUAAAACCGGUUCUAUUUGAAUUAUAAGCGUUCUAUUUUAAUUAUAACCGGUUUGAAUUAUUUAGUGUUAUUUGUUUUUAUUUAUUAUAAGACUAUUAUAGAACCGGUUUGAGUUAUUCGUUGUUAUUUGUUUUUAUUUAUUAUAAGACUGUUAUAGAACUGGUUCUAUUUUAAUUAUAAUUGGUUUGAGUUAUUUUAUGUUAUUUGUUUUAUUGAUUAUGUUAUAAAACCGGUUCUAUUUGAAUUAUAACUGGUUCUAUUUUAAUUAUAACCGGUUUGAGUUAUUUAUUGUUAUUUGUUUUUAUUUAUUAUAAGAUUGUUAUAGAACUGGUUCUAUUUUAAUUAUAGCCGGUUUGAGUUAUUUGUUUUUAUUUAUUAUAAGAUUGUUAUAGAACUGGUUCUAUUUUAAUUAUAAUUGGUUUGAGUUAUUUUGUGUUAUUUGUUUUUAUUGAUUAUGUUAUAAAACCGGUUCUAUUUUAAUUAUAACAGGUUUGAGUUAUUCAUUAUUAUUUGUUUUUAUUUAUUUUGUUAUAGAACUUGUUCUAUUUUAGUUUAUAUUUGAGACAUUUAACUCCGAUGACUUUUUCAAUAUCAGUGAUUUUUCCAGCAAUUUUUUCGAUACUAAUGACUUUUAUUGAAUUAUUUAUUUUAGAAAUUGAUU
Cannabis sativa is the source of this 3506-nucleotide long non-coding RNA. RefSeq lists it as uncharacterized. The transcript is spliced from 4 exons. The record is from RefSeq and is a predicted model, not a curated record. NCBI's taxonomy places the organism in Eukaryota, Viridiplantae, Streptophyta, Magnoliopsida, Rosales, Cannabaceae.